Hyalella azteca is the source of this 1858-nucleotide long non-coding RNA. RefSeq lists it as uncharacterized. The record is from RefSeq and is a predicted model, not a curated record. NCBI's taxonomy places the organism in Eukaryota, Metazoa, Arthropoda, Malacostraca, Amphipoda, Hyalellidae. The transcript is spliced from 2 exons.
ACGAAUGCGGCAACACCGUCCCGCUCCCGGCUUCCCAGUACAUAGCGGUGUUCUCGCACCCCGGGUACGGCUGCAAGGCGUUCCCCGACGGCCCGACCUACAACUGCAGAGUCACCUUCACGGCAACUUCCAAUAUUGGCUUUUUAUUCUUCGGGAAACACUUUAUUGGCAGUGACCGGUCCUGCGACGGCUACAAUCUUACCGCUUCUUACGGCACUACGCAAGACGCUAACUUCUGUAUCCUCUACCUUCAAGCUCUCGGGACCAACACGAUGACAUUAACGCUGCGGGGCACGGCUCUGGCUAAGACCUUCAAGGGAGGCUUCACCUUGCUACUGCAAACGUAAUAAAUGCUCGUCGUUUGCUCCCUACCUAUGUCGGAGCCCGGCUUGACCUGGAAUAUCUGCUGCACUUUGAGUUCAUAUCACGUGAUGACACUGAGACAUUGAUGAAGAACCCUCGUAUCUGGAGAGGAUGCCAGGGUCCUAUGCCCACAUCAUAUCUGGAGAGGAUGCCAGGGUCCUAUGCCCACAUCGUAUCUGGAGAGGAUGCCAGGGUCCUAUGCCCACAUCGUAUCUGGAGAGGAUGCCAGGGUCCUAUGCCCACAUUUGAAGUUAGCUUUUCGAACAAAUUGUGUUGCGGAGCUCAGAGGCCUUACGAUUAUAAACAUUUAAAAUUUUGUAACUCCUACUCCGUCAGCCAAUCACUGACGGCUUAUCAAACCAAACUAACCAAUCACAGACAAGAAAUUGGUUGCUGCAUAUUGGGGCGACUUUCGAUUGUACGGUCACUGAAGGGCCCACACAAGCCCGCGACAAAGCCGGAAUGAUUCAUCAAACCUAAAUGUAUUAUGAAAUCAAAAUUUUGAGCCCUUUAAAUAUAGGGUGAUAAAUGUGUUAGAAACAAUAUAAAUACCAUUUGAGAAAAUUGAAACCUUUCCAUUACAAAAAAUUUGGUCCAAUGAUUCUCCAUGAUUGAACAUCAGCACACCAGUUUGAAAAUUUUAUUUGUGAAAUGCUACACACGAGUGUGUUACUUUUUCUGUGUGAAGUGGUGAUGCCACACAUGAGUUUCACUUUAUCUGUGUGAAGUGGUGAUGCCACACAUGAGUUUUACUUUAUUUGUGUGAAGUGGUGACAUCACACAUGAGUUUUACUUUAUCUGUGUGAAGUGUUGACAUCAUAUAUGAGUUUUACUUUAUCUGAGUGAAGUGGUGACAUCACACAUGAGUUUUACUUUAUCUGUGUGAGGUGGUGACAUCACACAUGAGUUUUACUUUAUCUGUGUGAAGUGGUGACAUCACACAUGAGUUUUACUUUAUCUGUGUGAGGCGGUGACAUCACACAUGAGUUUUACUUUAUCUGUGUGAAGUGGUGACAUCACACAUGAGUUUUACUUUAUCUGUGUGAGGCGGUGACAUCACACAUGAGUUUUACUUUAUCUGUGUGAAGAGGUGACAUCACACAUGAGUGUUACUUUAUCUGUUUGAAUUAUAGGGCGUUUCAUGGUUAUAAUAGAAGUCUUGGGUUCCUUGUGUGUGCGUAAUAGAGAAAAAAAUGAAUGCAUUGCAUGAAAUUAAUAAACUUAUUCGAGAUUCUCUUCCUUGUUGAUCGUCCAUUUAAAUUCUUUAUUAGAGUGUCCAGGUGGGGGCUAGAUGAUGGGGGUAAACUCCCCUUAAUUGGGGGGCUAGACCCGCAGUAAUGGUAGUAUAAUACAUUAAUUUUACCACCACCUGUACUACUUUGUUUCCCUGUAAUCUAGUCAAGCCCUUACGAGAGUUCCACUCCCCCGAUAGUUUUCUCAGUGUUGCUUUCUGUCUCAGAUGUUUUCUUCGUCAUCAAUAAAAGAGUUGCAUUCA